RNAcentral lists this long non-coding RNA (314 nucleotides) under Lathyrus oleraceus (garden pea). Its description in RNAcentral is "Pisum sativum (pea) long non-coding RNA (PSAT_LNC034358)". The record is from RNAcentral. Lineage: Eukaryota; Viridiplantae; Streptophyta; Magnoliopsida; Fabales; Fabaceae.
ACAAAAAAAUUGGAUAACAAGGGUUUUUGAACUCGGUAGUCAUGUUGUGUACUUUUUUUUUUCCGUGCAUCACGUAUACUCUGGGGUAAAAACUCUUUUGACUUUUUUCCUACUCACAUUUUCCGAGCAUUUUAUAUCUGUUAGAGUCUAAGGUCUCGGCAAGUGCAUUUUUCUCUUUUGUGUUUCUUUUCUUUUUCUUUUUUUUUCUUUUAAAGACAAUACAUACUGUUUUUCUUUUUGUAUGAUCUCAUCUUAUGCACUUGCCUUCUCUUUCAAGAUUUCCACCCCAAACUUAGUUUUAUUGCACAUCUUGC